AAGGUUGUUCUAACAAGUCUGGUACAGUCAUGAUAUAACCAGAAUGUUACAAGAUUGACGAGACGACACAAGAUUGUAACAAUAUAGUCAUAUCAUGACUGUAUCAGACUUGUUGGAACAACCUU
Paramuricea clavata is the source of this 125-nucleotide non-coding RNA. Lineage: Eukaryota; Metazoa; Cnidaria; Anthozoa; Malacalcyonacea; Plexauridae. The record is from the annotation of a GenBank genome assembly.